CCUCCUAUUACACUUGAACCUGCAAUGUUAGUUGUUGAUUUUUGGAACCAAUAUGUUUGAACAGACGAGUAACAUUUCAUCAGGAGUCGUGUUUCUGGCCCCCCUGUCAUUGUAAGUUCAAUAUCUGUUCACUGUUAGCUGCGUUUUUGGACUCAACCAACUCCAUCUGGAUAAAUCUGGAUAUUUGUGUGCCUCUAACAACAGACAUUUUUCCCUCUGUCGUUUGAUUCCUGCUAGACAUCAGCUCCACAUCCUGUCUGUAAUGCCUGCACAUUUGUUUUUUGACUUUGUUACUAGAGACAGUCUUAGUAGAGAUUUAAGCUCUCAUGCACAAUCGAAACAAAUGUAAUUUGAACGUUUCAAAUAAUCUUUAGUUUUGCGAGUAGUGUGUUUUUGAUUUACUAGACAAAUAUUAGACUGGAUGAUUUGGUUGAUGAACGAUUUUUGCUGUAGGACAAAUAAAAUCCCUCAGAUUUAUCUCUGCUGGUCACAUUUACACUCGUAUGCUGCCGCUGCAUUAGUCAGCCAAAUCCAAAUAAGUCCAAGUCCAAAUACAUUUGGUGAAACUAACUUGUUUAUUCGCAUGAAUGCUGCUCAGAGUAAUGUGAGUAAAUCUUCUUUCUUGGCAAAGAUGAACAUAAAUAUAUUGGUAACAUGAGGUUUUCCAAAGACUUUGUGAAAUGUGUUUUUUAAAUGAAAAUAUAUUAAACACAGGUGUUUAAAAGAGAUUUUCACAACAAUAUUAAAUAGAUACCAGAGAGGAAUUGCGACCCUUUCAGGUUGCUAACACUACAGCUCAUAAUAUGGCAUCAAUACCUAACGUCCAUGUAUUAUCUGUUUUGAUUAAACAGGUGGUAUUUAAAUAUAAAUACCACCAUGUUUUCCCAAAUUACCAUGUUUUUGUUUCAUGCAAAUAACUCGAUGCAUGCCUAUUACUAUAAUAUUCAUAGAAAGAUGCGGCGAUUCCAGGGCCAGAGCGGUGCAGUCAAUGUGUUGUUCGAGCCGGAAGGUACUGGUAUGCUGUAUUAAUAUUAGCAAUAAGAACCUUUUUAUAUCAUUUUUUAUGAUUUUUAAUCAUCUUGAAUCCCCUAACGUAGCGUAUACUUUCUGCAGUAACAUCUGAAAAUAAUGUUUAGCACCAUAAGGAGAGCUGCAAAGCGUACUAUCCAUAUGCUGUGUUACAUACACAAUCUGAAUGCACUUCUGUUGUUGCUCCUGAAAUGCUUUGUUUGAUAUGAUCAUAUUCCGCUUAAAAACAUGUAUUUACAAAUUGGUCGUUUUGGACAUUAAUGCAGUAGUAGGUUUUCGGCUACUGUCAAACGUAAAUCCGUGUGUUAAACUUAAAGCUGCUGCUAACAUGGCGGAGUGGCAGUGAGAAGCAGCACGAGAGUCUGACUGAAGAAAAGGACGAGCAGACAUGAAAUGUGAUCGAGCGAGUUCAGUCACUCAGGCAGCACUGAAUUAGACGUCGACAGAGGCGAAUAGAAAUGACGCAGAGAGCGAUGGGGAAAGACAAGGGGUCGAGAACAGGGCCGGACAGCUGCUGAUCGGCAGAGAGGACGGACGGGGAGGGGAAGUGCUGGGAGAAUAUACUCUGAGAGGAGGGAGGCAGCGGUGUAAAUUACAGCGAGAACAGAAGAGACGAGGAGACAGGAGCAGGCGAGACGGAGAGGACAUUUGGAAAUGAGCUGAAGAAAAAGAGCCAUAUAUUGAAGGACAAAUGGGUUUCAUCCAUUUUUAUAUACAACAACUAACCACUAACUGCAGUCCUUUCAUUUCAAAAAGAAGAGAGGGAAAACAGGUUUUAAAUAUCUGAGAAAAAUAAGAACUGUUGAAAAGUUACCUGGUUGCUCCUCAAGCCGGAGAUUAAGACCCGUCCACUCUGACAGCUGGAUGUAAGGUUCUUAAUGUGAGGUUUUAGACUGUGUGACAGCAUGAGCGCUGUCAACUAUGCUUCAUUACGCUUCCAGGGAAAGUUUUAAAAAUACUUUAAACUAUUUUAAUUGAAACAAAACAAUUACAGCUAUAGUUUUACGCAACACAACCUCUUGAUUAGAUUCAUCACAACUUCAGCAGCCAAACGUGUAUCUAAACAGUCACUAUUGUAACAUUGUGUAUUUACUUGUGUGCUGUCCAUGACACCUCUACUGUGGUCCGCUGCAUGUGCAGAUGUGCAUGCCACAUAUAUGAAACAGUGCUUGGAGCUCUAUGGGAAACAGGGUGAAUUUUCACGGUGGAUGGGACACAUUAACACCUCAUGCAAGGUUGAUCCGUCUCAAUGUAACCCACAUUCAAGUAAAUGGAUCACAUCAACCACGAUCAGCCAGUUGUGAAGUACUGACUGACUGCCAGCCUUUCCCAGAAGGGAAAUGACGAGGACGUCACAGUCACACGGUGGAAAUCACCCGAUGCGUUCUGGGGAUAUCUGUGUUUUCUUUUCCUCAUUAUAAUAUAACAAUAAUAAUGGAUUUUAUUUAUGAAGUGCUUUAAAAAAGUACUCAAGGUGUUCUACAUGAGUGCAAUGUUCUGUGGGAACAGUAAUAUCAACAAAAGCUAUAUUGAUAUAACAGUAAGAAACAAAUAUAGUAUCACAAACACACAAAGCCAAGAGGUGAUGUGAUUCGAAAUGAGAGAAAUAAAAACAAAUAGAUGAAACAGAAAAACAGCAGCACGGAUUAUGAUGACCACUGUUCAGUUGAGUGUCAAGCUAAAAUCCACGGAAAAGAGGGCUGCACAUAGAAAAGGACACCAGUGGCAUUUAUUCUAGUAUUGUAGAGUUGUUUAGAUUUUCUCAUUCUAUUAAGUCUUCAGAGAGCAGUAGAAAAGAGUCAUUUAACACUAAUCCUCACCAAAUAAUUCUGCUUCAUUUGUAGGCAGAAUGAGAGGAUUUAACGCCAGCUCACAACCAGACGAGACGGGCAGUGAAACGGAGGCCUCCGUGUCGGUUAACAUGUGCGUUUGUGACUCCAUCGGGGAUGACAACUGGGAGGAAAAAAGAAAGUGAUUACUUUGCAGUCAUCUUGAAAAUGAGGCCCAUUCAAGUUUGACUCAACUGUCUGUUUGACGGGACGCCUUGUUAAGAGUGAAUUAUUCAUGUAAUUUGUCUAAUGUGUCCCAUGAAAAGGCUCCGUGUGUGUGUGCACAUGAGCUUGUGUUACAUUGCAGCAGCCUGCUAGCACGGACAUUAACGUAGACAGUAACUAAGAGGCAGCGUUUUGCUGCAAUCUGCGUUAAAAAGAUUCCAAAAUCAGGUAGAAUUAUUUUUGAAAUGACAUUUAGUCAAAAUGUUCCUGCUGAGUUAUACAGUGGGAAAAGUCAUUCCAUCUCAGGAAAUACACGUAGCCCCGCCCAAAUGACUAAUACUGUUAAAAUAAAACCCAAAUGAAUAAUAAAUAUUCAUAUGUUCUUAAUGAUAGCAUCAUACUGUAUAUCAUAGUAACUGUUUAUUUCCUCUAUUUCUUUUCACCUCGAGAAGUACCGUUAUUUAGACUUUAUUUAGCAGCCACACAAGCCGUGCCUCUAUAUAUAAGGUGACUGACAUGGAUGGAGUGGCUCUGUCUGGCACUCUAACAAACCUGCGUUGGAGUGAGGUAGAAAUAAUAGAAAAUGAUGUAUAGCUCACAGCGUGGAGGAGUGAUGUGGAGGAGGGGGGUCUGAGCUGAGGUGAGCCCACAGAGAUGCAGGAAUCAGUUGAAAGAUCUGCUGUCAACUGGAUCAGAGAAACGGUUUCUAAUGUUUCACAAUGUGUCUGUGAAAUAUAUCAUGCAACCCGACUGCUGGCCGUGCACCAAAACCCUUUCCCAAAGAGCAAUGGUCUGAUCAUACGACCAAGAGGAUGAAAUCAAACAGCCCCACAUCUUUACUGAUCAUGUAUAUGUACUAGGGGUGUAACGAUUCGUUCACUGAAUCGAUUAAUCAAUUUAUAUUCCUGCGAUCCAACUGAAUCGAUCUGUGCUCCGCAAAUCGAUCGAUUACAAAUCGAUUGAAAUGGUACAUAAUCGAUACUUGGAAACUGUACAUUGGAUUUAAGUACAAAAACGGUAUGGAUGUGUUUGUUUUUUGUUUUUUAGCACUUUAGACACGUUAAACGUUACUCGAUUCAGUCUGCCUGUCUGUGACGUCAUCAGUACGCAGCGGCAGCCGCGCGAAAACCGUAACAACAACAAAAUACAGCGUGGAGGAGACGACUGCGAGCGAGACAUUUACACCUCUAGCAGCGUUACUGCUGCAGCAGCAGCAGCAGGUAACUCCAGCUCUGCAGACACCUCAGGCCUCGCCAGCACCAAACUCAACAUUACAGCAACAAUUGUUUAUCUGUAAAGAAAUGCGACCCUACAAUGUGGUUGAAACUCCGGGGUUCUGUGAAUUGAUCCAAACAUUGUGUAAUUAUAGUGUAAUGUUUACAUUGAAAAUGGCACUUGAUUCAAAUAAAAGGUCAAUACAUUUGCCAUCAAUUGUUGUUUGCUUGUUUAUAAUAUCCAUAAUUAAUUUAAACCUGAUUUCCUUAAGAGGAACAACAGGGAUCUCAGAAACUUUGCCUGCACUGUCCAGUAAAGUUACUGAAUCAAUUUCAAGUCACUGAAUCGAAUCGAAUAGAAUCGUUCUAAAUUAACCCAGAUUGUCCAUGAAUCGAAUCGGCAACCAUGAAUUGUGAUUCGAAUCGAAUCGUUGUUAAAAUGAAUCGUUACACCCCUAAUAUGUAUAUGUCUAUAUAUGAAACACAGCCAUUUCUUAUGUUAUAUUUAUAUGUGUGUGUGUGUAGAUACUAUCUAUAAACAGCAUUGCUUUUAUUUCAUACUGAAAGACAGAACAACCCUGCAGGCCCAGACCGUUGGCAGGAUACAUCAUGAUGUGCUUCUAAAAGGAAUGACCGUCCUUUGUAGUGCUGGACACCAGUCAUUGAUUACGACAUAGCGUCUGGUAGUUCAAAUCAAGAGGCCACCGUUUCGUUUGUUUUUCCAGGUUCAGCAAUGAUGUCUGCGGGUCAAUGUGACCCUGCGCAUGUUUAAUACAACUUUUGGGAGGUUUGGUGGCAGACGGAAUAUAAUUUGGACGUUGACCUGAAUUUAAAUACCAAGAUAGCGUCUCUUCAGCUUCCCCUUACUGGCGUGAAGGUCAUUUCAAAUGGUUUCAGAAGCGAACACUGACACAGCUCACUGUUCCUUAGCCGCGGUAAAUUAUUGAAGUGGGUGGUAUUUCUAACAGUACUGUAUAAAUUAACCAUCAUAGACCACACGCCGCCCCAAGAGGUGAAGGAAGAGGAAAUUGGGAGCAAAAUAUUUUUAUCAUAACUAUUUUUAGAACAAAAAUAUCUUAGAUGUCCAAAGGAGGAAGCAAGGUCACCACGAUGCACGAUACAAAACCUUUUUCCCCUCAGAGUAUUGUGACAUGAGCAAUAAUAUCAAGUGCUACUCUGGCGGUAAUCAGUUUUUAUGUCGACUGGUUGGAAAAUUUUAAGCAGUGGUACUUGAAAUAAACAAGGUGGAACAGCUGCUGGAUGGUGCUACUUGAACCAGAACUCAUUUCCAUCUGUCAUCAACAUGCAUCCAUCAUCAGUGCCUGAAGAUUAUUUUAUUACGUCAUAAAAUGCUGUCAAGUUAAAUUGUCAUUACAAUUAAACUUGACAGCAAAUGGACACGUGGAAUGUCUUCUUGAAAUCUUUGUGAAUAGCUUCAGGAUUACGGUGGAAGUAGCAUGAUGGUGUGGUUAUAAGAGCACUCAAACAUAAGUCAAACCCUGGGGAUGAAAAGUUAUUUAAUACCCAAACAAGGAUCUGGCACCAAGAGCAUUUAUCUCCACUCUGAAUUAUAAUUUUAUGCAAUUCUUUCCUAAAAUUGUGAUAAAAAUGCAAAAAAAUUGUAAUUGUUGUUUAAACUAUUCCUUAUGUUACAAUCACGUUGACCAGUGGUAGCCAUUUCUACUGUUUCAGGUUGGCAUGGCGGACUGCUCCGGUUAUAUCACAACACCCAAUAGGUCUCGAUCCCCAAUUCCAUGGAAAGGAGAGCCAGUCUCUGCUGCAAAUCAAAGUUGGAGUGAAUUCAAAAUGUCAUUCCAUGGCAAAAAAACUGCAACCUUUAUUAAUUGUUGAAAUAAUCUGAAAUUGACCCAUAAUUCUACGGAGAAGCUGCACUUCCGUUUUUAACAAAAGUGUGAUCUUUACUUUGCUCACCUUUUGGUAUUCAUUCUUAGCAACACAGGCUUGAUUUUUUUCAGCGUUCUUUUGUUCCAUUGCAGUGGUAAUUGUUUCCGGCUAACCCCUACUGAACUCUAAAAGAGAUCCCUUGGGAGACCGGGCAACUUGUGAGGAAGUGUUCAUUAAAACAAACAAUGCUUUCAGAAUUAUGUCCAAAUGACUUGUUUUGUCACAUGAGGACAAAUUAUUUUUUCACCAAAAACUACAGAAGCCACUAUGAGCGUGUUGGAAUGUUGCAAUGAAUUUCAUUGAAUCGAAACCAAUUAAUAAAAGAAUGAUCAGACUUUGGACUCCAGGCAUACUUCUAUCCGAGCGGCUGGUUUCCUGUUUGCUUGGAUCAUGUUUUGGAUAAUUAAUAUGAAUUUGAGUCUGGUUAUUGAUGCUCAUAUCAAAUAUGUAUCUUUAGAGCUAGAACACAUGGUCUUCAAAGAGUUGGCAGCUUUGCUUGUCCAUCUGGAGAUGGAGAAAACACUGAACAAAGAGUUGAAAAGCACCAUGUUAUGUUUAUAAUGUGUUCAAAGUUACGUUCCUGCCGACAAAAAGACAGAAUAGAGGAUUCUGGGGAAGUAACAGAAAAGAGAAGCCUGAGAGAAAGAGUCAGGGUGAGCGCUUAAAAAGAGAUGUGAAUGGUAAGGGGAGAGCGUAGAUGGAUGGAUCAAAAAAUGGGCAGAUUUCAGCAUGAAAAGCAAUAAAGAGAAGGAAUGGAAGAAAGUUAUGGACAGGGAAGAAAGAGACACACUCUGUGAAAGUGACAGAUAAUAAGAAAGAACUGACGUAUGAGCACCGCCCACCUCUGCAGAAAGAAAAACUUCCCUCCAAGACAAUAAAAGAAGGUCUACAUAUAUGUGAAAAGAAUGAAAAAGGUGGACAAGUGGUAAUGAGGACGACGAGAUAUGACUUGGGAUGAAGAGAUGAGAGGAUUAGAAAUAGGAUGGAUGAGAUGACAGAAAGGAGGUGAGGAGAAGGAGACACACUCUACAACGGAGAUGCUAAUGGAUCUGGUCCAUGAGCUCGUCUCCAUUCCCCUCCUUCUGUCCACCACACCGCAUACCUCACGCACGUGGUCUGCUGCGUGUGAAUUGAUGUUUCAUAGAGGACACAAUGGCCUCCUUUGGGGUAGAAAGAGCUUUGCUCAAUUUUUCUUUGUCACCCAUUGUGUGCCGCUGUGUGUGUGUGUGUGCACUCUGAACAAAAGGCCCAGUGUGGAAUUUUCUAGUUUUCUUUAUGUUGUGAAAAAAGAAGCACCGACUCUUCAUGUCUUCAUUUGGUACAACAGCUUCCACAAUUUUCUACGCUCAUUUCAAUCAGAAAAGGUAAAACAACUUUAAGAUUCAAAUUUAAAUGAAGUCUCUCUUUGUCCUUCUUGGCUAAGUACCCGUAUCAGACAUGUGUGAGGUUUUAAAAUGUAUUUGUGUUAACGUUUUAUGUUAAAUGUGUAUUGUAUGGUGUCAUGGUUUAAGUCCAUACAAAUGAUUUAUUCAUUUAUUUUCUUUACGUUUUUUCAAAUUGCAAAGACAUUAAAUACAGGCAGACAACGACUACCUAUCCGAACCUUUAUCACACCAUAAGUAUUGCUUGUUGCGUGCAUCCAUGUUUAGAGACCAAAAGCUGCUGAAGUCUGUUCUAGAAGCUACUUCAUUAAUCUCCUGCAUCCUGAUUGAGAGGCUCAAGGCCUCUGCUUCAGGAAGUAGAGGACUUUCAUUUCAAUUGCCUGUCCCCUCUUCGCAAACACGCUGUCACAAACACAUGCUUUAUCAAGUUCUGGAUCUUCCCAGGCCAGGGAUUGUCUGUCUGUGUGUGUUUGUUUAUGUGGAGGCACAGGCAGAAUAAAGCAUACACGUGCUGACAGGUAAAUUAAAUAAACAUAAAAUACAGCAUUAUGUGUCUAUCUUUCCCAUCAGCCAUAAGAUUUCUCUCAAGCACGCACAUCUUUUAUUACACAGUGUGGACAGGGUGAAGUGACUCGGGCUAAUACACCUUUCUCCAGGCUUUAUCAAGUUUUUGCAGGCCAUACAAAGCCUUCUGUUCAGUGUGUGCUCUCCUUGCUGUCUCAGAGCAACUCCACACUGCUAGAGCCGCCUCUCUUUCCUCUGUCCUCAUCCUUCUGGACCUUUCUGCUACAUUGGACACAGUCAACCACCAGAUCCUUAUUUUCCUCCUUCAGGAACUUGAUGUCUCAGGCUCUGCUCUCUCCCUUCUCUCGUCCUACCUCGACGGCCGCACCUACGGGGUAACCUGGCGAGGAUCUGUGUUGGAACCUUGUCCUCUUACUACAGGAGUUCCUCAGGGUUCCGCCCUGGGUCCCCUCCUCUUCUCGCUCUACACCAACUCUCUCGACUCUGUCAUUCGCUCGCAUGGCUUCUCCUACCACACCCAACUAAUUCUCUCCUUCCCUCACUCGGACACCCAGGUGGCGGCACGGAUCUCUGCCUGUCUGACUGACAUCUCUCAGUGGAUGUCCGCCCACCAUCUGAAAAUCAACCCCGACAAGACUUCAAACUACUUCUCUGUCCGGGAAAAGACUCUCUUACCCAGGACUUGACGGUUAACUUUGGCAACUCCGUCUUAACGCCGACUUUGACUGCAAGGAACCUUGGCGUCACACUCGACAGCCAACUCUCCCUGACUCCCAACAUCACUGCGACAACACGAUCCUGUAGAUACACACUCUACAACAUCAGGAGAAUACGUGAUUCAGGCUCUUGUCAUCUCACGCCUGGACUUCUGCAACUCGCUCCUGGCAGUCUCCCCGCUACCGCCAUUAGACCUCUGCAGCUCAUCCAGAAUGCAGCAGCUCGACUGGUCUUUAACCUUCCAAAAUUCUCCCACACUACUCCACUCCUCCGCUCUCUUCACUGGCUACCGGUGGCCGCCCGCAUCCAGUUCAAAACAUUGGUGCUCACCUACCAUGCUGUGAAUGGAUCGGGUCCAGCUUACAUCCAGGACAUGGUCAAACCCUACAUCCCGACCCACACUCUCCGCUCUUCAUCUGCAAAACUGAUUGUUCCUCCCUCACUGAGAGCAAAGACAAGCAGGUCAGGUUAAUUGGAGGCUCCAAACUGCCAGCAUGUGUGUAUGUAUGUGUAUAUAUGCCUUGUCACAUCUGUCCAUAUGGACCCCAACUCUUAGCAUCAGAUCUUUUUUAUAUGAUGUUACCAUUCCUCUCUGGCGCGGG
This is a long non-coding RNA of Gasterosteus aculeatus aculeatus (three-spined stickleback), 9368 nucleotides long. The record is from Ensembl. Lineage: Eukaryota; Metazoa; Chordata; Actinopteri; Perciformes; Gasterosteidae.